CAGUGGCGAACGGGUGAGUAACACGUGGGCAAUCUGCCCUGCACUCUGGGACAAGCCCUGGAAACGGGGUCUAAUACCGGAUAUUACCUUCCCCUGCAUGGGGGUUGGUGGAAAGCUCCGGCGGUGCAGGAUGAGCCCGCGGCCUAUCAGCUUGUUGGUGGGGUAAUGGCCUACCAAGGCGACGACGGGUAGCCGGCCUGAGAGGGCGACCGGCCACACUGGGACUGAGACACGGCCCAGACUCCUACGGGAGGCAGCAGUGGGGAAUAUUGCACAAUGGGCGAAAGCCUGAUGCAGCGACGCCGCGUGAGGGAUGACGGCCUUCGGGUUGUAAACCUCUUUCAGCAGGGAAGAAGCGAAAGUGACGGUACCUGCAGAAGAAGCACCGGCUAACUACGUGCCAGCAGCCGCGGUAAUACGUAGGGUGCGAGCGUUGUCCGGAAUUAUUGGGCGUAAAGAGCUCGUAGGCGGCCUGUUGCGUCGGUUGUGAAAGCCCGGGGCUUAACCCCGGGUCUGCAGUCGAUACGGGCAGGCUAGAGUUCGGUAGG
RNAcentral lists this ribosomal RNA (548 nucleotides) under Streptomyces sp. 316B12. RNAcentral's name for it is "bacterial SSU rRNA". It matches the Rfam family "Bacterial small subunit ribosomal RNA", at positions 93 to 655 of the family's 1533-position model. The record is from RNAcentral. Lineage: Bacteria; Bacillati; Actinomycetota; Actinomycetes; Kitasatosporales; Streptomycetaceae.